AUCUACAGCCGCUGGCAUAUACAAUUUCCCACCCAAGCAUGACCGUUUAAACGGCGAAAUGAACUUAAACAAAACUCACGACUGGAUGUAAACUGAUUUUGUGUUUUGAAUUCAUUCGAGACAGUCUUCAUAAGAUACAAUCAUAUUGACACAAACAACACAGAGGAAAAUGAAGCUGUAUACAUUCGUUCUCCUUGUGACACUUUCUUUUGUUUGUAUACCCGAAUCAAAUGCCAGUGAAGAAGCUACAUGCUUUAUAUCACUCGAAUGUGGAUACAUUAGACCCCCGUGUGUUGAGGAAUGUCGUCGAAGGGGCUGCAGUUCAGAAGGUGCAACUUGCAAUGCCAACAGAAGUUGUUGUUGUCUGAAUUGUGUCUAACCAAAAUUAAAAUCUGAAUAAAUUCUUCUUCAUUACAAUAA
Mytilus trossulus (common blue mussel) is the source of this 420-nucleotide long non-coding RNA. RefSeq lists it as uncharacterized. The transcript has 3 exons. NCBI's taxonomy places the organism in Eukaryota, Metazoa, Mollusca, Bivalvia, Mytilida, Mytilidae. The record is from RefSeq and is a predicted model, not a curated record.